AUAAUCAACUUUCUUUCUUACAUCUGUUCACUUUUAAUCUUGGUUCCCGAACUUAUUUUGAAUUCGUAACAUCGUACAGUGGCUAAGGGCAACCCCACUUCUCAAAUUUAUAGUAAUUCUCCAAUGAACAUAUAUUUUCAUGCUUCUAGUUUCAAUAAUAUCUCUAUGUGUUCUAUACUAUUACCUGGAGGUUAUUUGACUUGAUAUUUGUUAAAGUGAAGGUAAAAUUGGACGACAGCAUUCAUAAAUUAGAUCGUAAUUUUUUUUAUAGUACCUAGUAGCUACAUUGUGAUUUUAGGUAGUAAGAGGCUUUUUACAGAGCUAGGUCAUCACUGAGAACAUCUUUCUUUUUUCUGUUUGCUUGUUUAGCACAGUGAACAAGGAUGGAUUCAAACCAAAUGUAGAGACUCAUCUUAUUCCUUUACUAGCAUCAAAACUAGAAGAAACAGCAUCUUCAGACACAAAAGAGAAAAGUGCAACAAUAUCUACAAAAGGAGCUCAUCAUCCAUUGCUNNNN
This 517-nucleotide long non-coding RNA is filed under the name Fragaria vesca (wild strawberry). RNAcentral describes it as "long non-coding RNA (FVES_LNC003669)". The record is from RNAcentral. Lineage: Eukaryota; Viridiplantae; Streptophyta; Magnoliopsida; Rosales; Rosaceae.